GAUGAACGCUGGCGGCGUGCCUAAUACAUGCAAGUCGAGCGAACAGACGAGGAGCUUGCUCCUCUGACGUUAGCGGCGGACGGGUGAGUAACACGUGGAUAACCUACCUAUAAGACUGGGAUAACUUCGGGAAACCGGAGCUAAUACCGGAUAAUAUAUUGAACCGCAUGGUUCAAUAGUGAAAGACGGUUUUGCUGUCACUUAUAGAUGGAUCCGCGCCGCAUUAGCUAGUUGGUAAGUUAACGGCUUACCAAGGGGAGCAUGCGUAGCCGACGUGAGAGGGUGAUCGGCCACCCUGGAGCUGAGACGCGGUCCAGACUCCUACGAGAGGCAGCAGUAGGGAAUCUUCCGCAGUGGGCGAAAGCAUGACGGAGCAACGCCGCGUGAGAGAUGAAGGUCUUCGGAUCGUAAAACUCUGUUAUUAGGGAAGAACAAAUGUGUAAGUAACUAUGCACGUCUUGACGGUACCUAAUCAGAAAGCCACGGCUAACUACGUG
RNAcentral lists this ribosomal RNA (497 nucleotides) under uncultured bacterium. RNAcentral describes it as "partial 16S ribosomal RNA". It matches the Rfam family "Bacterial small subunit ribosomal RNA", at positions 28 to 507 of the family's 1533-position model. The record is from RNAcentral.